RNAcentral lists this ribosomal RNA (514 nucleotides) under uncultured bacterium. Its description in RNAcentral is "bacterial SSU rRNA". It matches the Rfam family "Bacterial small subunit ribosomal RNA", at positions 26 to 518 of the family's 1533-position model. The record is from RNAcentral.
AGGACGAACGCUGGCGGCGUGCCUAACACAUGCAAGUCGAACGGGGAUUUGUUUCGGCAGAAUCCUAGUGGCGAACGGGUGAGUAACGCGUAGGCAACCUGCCCUCCGGCCGGGGACAACACUCCGAAAGGGGUGCUAAUACCGGAUACGAAGUCUGUGCCGCAUGGUACGGAUUUGAAAGAUGGCCUCUAUUUAUAAGCUAUCGCCGGGGGAUGGGCCUGCGUCCGAUUAGCUGGUUGGUGGGGUAACGGCCUACCAAGGCGACGAUCGGUAGCCGGUCUGAGAGGAUGAACGGCCACAUUGGGACUGAGACACGGCCCAGACUCCUACGGGAGGCAGCAGUGGGGAAUCUUCCGCAAUGGGCGCAAGCCUGACGGAGCAACGCCGCGUGAGUGAGGAAGUUCUUCGGAACGUAAAGCUCUGUUGUUCCUGACGAACCUCCCUUCUAUCAACAACGGAAGGGACUGACGGUAGGGAACGAGGAAGCCACGGCUAACUACGUGCCAGCCGCCGC